UGGGGAAUAUUGGACAAUGGGCGAAAGCCUGAUCCAGCAAUGCCGCGUGAGUGAAGAAGGCCUUAGGGUUGUAAAGCUCUUUCGCCUGCGACGAUGAUGACGGUAGCAGGAGAAGAAGCCCCGGCUAAUUCCGUGCCAGCAGCCGCGGUAAUACGGAAGGGGCUAGCGUUGUUCGGAAUCACUGGGCGUAAAGCGCGCGUAGGCGGCUUGGCAAGUGAGGCGUGAAAGUCCUGGGCUCAACCUGGGGACUGCGCUUCAGACUGCUUGGCUUGAGUCCGGAAGAGGGUGGUGGAAUUCCGAGUGUAGAGGUGAAAUUCGUAGAUAUUCGGAGGAACACCGGCGGCGAAGGCGGCCACCUGGUCCGGAACUGACGCUCAAGUGCGAAAGCGUGGGGAGCAAACAGG
This 404-nucleotide ribosomal RNA is filed under the name uncultured Defluviicoccus sp. Its description in RNAcentral is "bacterial SSU rRNA". It matches the Rfam family "Bacterial small subunit ribosomal RNA", at positions 355 to 776 of the family's 1533-position model. Lineage: Bacteria; Pseudomonadati; Pseudomonadota; Alphaproteobacteria; Rhodospirillales; Rhodospirillaceae. The record is from RNAcentral.